RNAcentral lists this ribosomal RNA (732 nucleotides) under Acinetobacter pittii. Its description in RNAcentral is "bacterial SSU rRNA". It matches the Rfam family "Bacterial small subunit ribosomal RNA", at positions 10 to 737 of the family's 1533-position model. Lineage: Bacteria; Pseudomonadati; Pseudomonadota; Gammaproteobacteria; Moraxellales; Moraxellaceae. The record is from RNAcentral.
AGUUNUNUCCUGGCUCAGAUUGAACGCUGGCGGCAGGCUUAACACAUGCAAGUCGAGCGGAGAGAUGUAGCUUGCUACUGAUCUUAGCGGCGGACGGGUGAGUAAUGCUUAGGAAUCUGCCUAUUAGUGGGGGACAACAUUUCGAAAGGAAUGCUAAUACCGCAUACGUCCUACGGGAGAAAGCAGGGGAUCUUCGGACCUUGCGCUAAUAGAUGAGCCUAAGUCGGAUUAGCUAGUUGGUGGGGUAAAGGCCUACCAAGGCGACGAUCUGUAGCGGGUCUGAGAGGAUGAUCCGCCACACUGGGACUGAGACACGGCCCAGACUCCUACGGGAGGCAGCAGUGGGGAAUAUUGGACAAUGGGCGCAAGCCUGAUCCAGCCAUGCCGCGUGUGUGAAGAAGGCCUUAUGGUUGUAAAGCACUUUAAGCGAGGAGGAGGCUACUUUAGUUAAUACCUAGAGAUAGUGGACGUUACUCGCAGAAUAAGCACCGGCUAACUCUGUGCCAGCAGCCGCGGUAAUACAGAGGGUGCAAGCGUUAAUCGGAUUUACUGGGCGUAAAGCGCGCGUAGGCGGCUAAUUAAGUCAAAUGUGAAAUCCCCGAGCUUAACUUGGGAAUUGCAUUCGAUACUGGUUAGCUAGAGUGUGGGAGAGGAUGGUAGAAUUCCAGGUGUAGCGGUGAAAUGCGUAGAGAUCUGGAGGAAUACCGAUGGCGAAGGCAGCCNUCGGCCUAA